AUGAGGAGAGCAUGGAAAAAGAUAUUGAAGGUCAUUAAUCCUACGACUCGUUCUCUUCCCCAACCGCACGAGAGGUUGAAGAGGUGGAAAGGAAGUAGAAGAGGGUGCCGUUCGACCAACCUCUCAGGACAAGCUGCUCACGGAGGUGCCCAAGUACAAGCGGACUAUGUUCUCUGUCCUCCCCUAGAAGCGCCAACUGCUGAAUACGAGAAGAUUAGGGCUAAAAAUUUGAUGAGGAACAACCGCAUAUUCCAAUCACUUGGCAUCACUGCAUUAGGUAUGAUGGAAACCUGUCAGUCGAACAAGGAGAACCGUUUCGAAGUUAAGUUCCAUCAGAAAACUGGUUCUCGCCCCUACAUUUCUCAUGUUCAUGCUUUGAAAGAGGCUCGUAAGGGUGAAGAGUUGACUUUGUUUGAUCUAUUCAAGGAGUGCCACAAUGGCAAGAAGACUGAUUUCUCUGAGCCAGUUAAGAAGGCGAUAGCAAGUUUCUACUAUUCUUUUCUGUGUUGA
This 510-nucleotide ribosomal RNA is filed under the name Triticum aestivum (bread wheat). Its description in RNAcentral is "partial small subunit ribosomal RNA". The record is from RNAcentral. Lineage: Eukaryota; Viridiplantae; Streptophyta; Magnoliopsida; Poales; Poaceae.